RNAcentral lists this unclassified non-coding RNA (145 nucleotides) under Aquifex aeolicus. Its description in RNAcentral is "putative small non-coding RNA". The record is from RNAcentral. Lineage: Bacteria; Pseudomonadati; Aquificota; Aquificia; Aquificales; Aquificaceae.
CCCGGUUCUUUGGGAGAUAGCGGGUAGUAAAUCCUGUUCCCCAAAAGGGGACAGCGAAGGACACUUUGCGGGAAGUGUAUCAGAUUUAAUUACCUUUGCUCAUUUCUGAUACCUUCCCGCUGGUGUCCUCACGAAGGGAUACUUU